CAGCCGCCGCGGUAAUACGUAGGGUGCAAGCGUUAAUCGGAAUUACUGGGCGUAAAGCGUGCGCAGGCGGUUAUAUAAGACAGAUGUGAAAUCCCCGGGCUCAACCUGGGAACUGCAUUUGUGACUGUAUAGCUAGAGUACGUCAGAGGGUGAUGGAAUUCCGCGUGUAGCAGUGAAAUGCGUAGAUAUGCGGAGGAACACCGAUGGCGAAGGCAAUCCCCUGGGCCUGUACUGACGCUCAUGCACGAAAGCGUGGGGAGCAAACAGGAUUAGAUACCCGAGUAGUCCCUGUCUCUUAUAC
RNAcentral lists this ribosomal RNA (301 nucleotides) under uncultured bacterium. RNAcentral describes it as "partial 16S ribosomal RNA". It matches the Rfam family "Bacterial small subunit ribosomal RNA", at positions 509 to 807 of the family's 1533-position model. The record is from RNAcentral.